Molecule: ribosomal RNA, 537 nt
Filed under: Tripneustes gratilla (Hawaiian sea urchin)
Lineage: Eukaryota; Metazoa; Echinodermata; Echinoidea; Temnopleuroida; Toxopneustidae
Description: partial 16S ribosomal RNA
Rfam family: Bacterial large subunit ribosomal RNA
Source: RNAcentral
UGAGUUUUAACCCGGGGGCUGUUUUAACAAACAAAAGGUUUUAUUAUCAUUUGUCUCCUAAUUAGAGACUAGUAUGAAUGGCAAGACGGAACAAAACUGUCUCUUUCUCAUGACACAGAACUUCACUUUCCCGUGAAGAGGCGGGAAUAAGCUCGCUAGACGAGAAGACCCUGUCGAGCUUUAGCAAACUCCAAGCCCUUAAUUUGCUUAUUAUGGACUAAUUAAUAGAAUUACCCAACAAUAAACUUUUUGGCCCUUGGAAAAGCUUUGGUUGGGGCAACCGCGGAGAAAAAUAAUCCUCCGCUAAUAAUAGAAUACUAUAUGAAGACAACUCUAAAAUAAAGGAAACAAAUGAUCCACUAAGGUGAUCAAAGGAACAAGUUACCGCAGGGAUAACAGCGUUAUCUUUUCUGAGAGUCCACAUUGACGAAAAGGUUUGCGACCUCGAUGUUGGAUCGGGACAUCCUGAGGGUGCAGAAGCUUUCAAGGGUUGGUCUGUUCGACCAUUAAAGUCCUACGUGAUCUGAGUUCAGACCG